CGGACGGGCGAGUAACGCGUGGGUGACCUACCCUGUACACACGGAUAACAUACCGAAAGGUAUGCUAAUACGGGAUAAUAUAUUUGAGAGGCAUCUCUUGAAUAUCAAAGGUGAGCCAGUACAGGAUGGACCCGCGUCUGAUUAGCUAGUUGGUAAGGUAACGGCUUACCAAGGCGACGAUCAGUAGCCGACCUGAGAGGGUGAUCGGCCACAUUGGAACUGAGACACGGUCCAA
Molecule: ribosomal RNA, 235 nt
Filed under: uncultured bacterium
Lineage: Bacteria
Description: partial 16S ribosomal RNA
Rfam family: Bacterial small subunit ribosomal RNA
Source: RNAcentral